Molecule: ribosomal RNA, 370 nt
Filed under: Petasospora fabianii
Lineage: Eukaryota; Fungi; Ascomycota; Saccharomycetes; Phaffomycetales; Wickerhamomycetaceae
Description: eukaryotic LSU rRNA
Rfam family: Eukaryotic large subunit ribosomal RNA
Source: RNAcentral
AUGCCUCAGUACGGCGAGUGAGCGGCAAAGCUCAAUUUGAAAUCUAGUACCUUCGGUGCUCGAGUUGUAAUUUGAAGGUAGUUUUCUGGUGCUGGCCCUUGUCUAUGUUCCUUGGAACAGGACGUCAUAGAGGGUGAGAAUCCCGUCUGAUGGGGUGUCCAGUGCUUUGUAGAUUUCUACCGAAGAGUCGAGUUGUUUGGGAAUGCAGCUCUAAGUGGGUGGUAAAUUCCAUCUAAAGCUAAAUACUGGCGAGAGACCGAUAGCGAACAAGUACAGUGAUGGAAAGAUGAAAAGAACUUUGAAAAGAGAGUGAAAAAGUACGUGAAAUUGUUGAAAGGGAAGGGUAUUGGAUCAGACUUGGUGUCUUGUG